Molecule: ribosomal RNA, 649 nt
Filed under: uncultured Lachnospiraceae bacterium
Lineage: Bacteria; Bacillati; Bacillota; Clostridia; Lachnospirales; Lachnospiraceae
Description: bacterial SSU rRNA
Rfam family: Bacterial small subunit ribosomal RNA
Source: RNAcentral
CGAACGAGCGAGAGAGAGCUUGCUUUCUCGAGCGAGUGGCGAACGGGUGAGUAACGCGUGAGGAACCUGCCUCAAAGAGGGGGACAGCAGUUGGAAACGACUGCUAAUACCGCAUAAGCCCACGGUGCCGCAUGGCACAGAGGGAAAAGGAGCAAUCCGCUUUGAGAUGGCCUCGCGUCCGAUUAGCUAGUUGGUGAGGUAACGGCCCACCAAGGCGACGAUCGGUAGCCGGACUGAGAGGUUGAACGGCCACAUUGGGACUGAGACACGGCCCAGACUCCUACGGGAGGCAGCAGUGGGGAAUAUUGCACAAUGGGGGAAACCCUGAUGCAGCGACGCCGCGUGGAGGAAGAAGGUCUUCGGAUUGUAAACUCCUGUUGUUGGGGAAGAUAAUGACGGUACCCAACAAGGAAGUGACGGCUAACUACGUGCCAGCAGCCGCGGUAAAACGUAGGUCACAAGCGUUGUCCGGAAUUACUGGGUGUAAAGGGAGCGCAGGCGGGAAGACAAGUUGGAAGUGAAAUCUAUGGGCUCAACCCAUAAACUGCUUUCAAAACUGUUUUUCUUGAGUAGUGCAGAGGUAGGCGGAAUUCCCGGUGUAGCGGUGGAAUGCGUAGAUAUCGGGAGGAACACCAGUGGCGAAGGCGGC